AAGCAGGGGAUCUUCGGACCUUGCGCUAAUAGAUGAGCCUAAGUCAGAUUAGCUAGUUGGUGGGGUAAAGGCCUACCAAGGCGACGAUCUGUAGCGGGUCUGAGAGGAUGAUCCGCCACACUGGGACUGAGACACGGCCCAGACUCCUACGGGAGGCAGCAGUGGGGAAUAUUGGACAAUGGGCGAAAGCCUGAUCCAGCCAUGCCGCGUGUGUGAAGAAGGCCUUUUGGUUGUAAAGCACUUUAAGCGAGGAGGAGGCUACUUAGAUUAAUACUCUAGGAUAGUGGACGUUACUCGCAGAAUAAGCACCGGCUAACUCUGUGCCAGCAGCCGCGGUAAUACAGAGGGUGCGAGCGUUAAUCGGAUUUACUGGGCGUAAAGCGUGCGUAGGCGGCUUUUUAAGUCGGAUGUGAAAUCCCUGAGCUUAACUUAGGAAUUGCAUUCGAUACUGGGAAGCUAGAGUAUGGGAGAGGAUGGUAGAAUUCCAGGUGUAGCGGUGAAAUGCGUAGAGAUCUGGAGGAAUACCGAUGGCGAAGGCAGCCAUCUGGCCUAAUACUGACGCUGAGGUACGAAAGCAUGGGGAGCAAACAGGAUUAGAUACCCUGGUAGUCCAUGCCGUAAACGAUGUCUACUAGCCGUUGGGGCCUUUGAGGCUUUAGUGGCGCAGCUAACGCGAUAAGUAGACCGCCUGGGGAGUACGGUCGCAAGACUAAAACUCAAAUGAAUUGACGGGGGCCCGCACAAGCGGUGGAGCAUGUGGUUUAAUUCGAUGCAACGCGAAGAACCUUACCUGGUCUUGACAUAGUAAGAACUUUCCAGAGAUGGAUUGGUGCCUUCGGGAACUUACAUACAGGUGCUGCAUGGCUGUCGUCAGCUCGUGUCGUGAGAUGUUGGGUUAAGUCCCGCAACGAGCGCAACCCUUUUCCUUAUUUGCCAGCGGGUUAAGCCGGGAACUUUAAGGAUACUGCCAGUGACAAACUGGAGGAAGGCGGGGACGACGUCAAGUCAUCAUGGCCCUUACGACCAGGGCUACACACGUGCUACAAUGGUCGGUACAAAGGGUUGCUACCUAGCGAUAGGAUGCUAAUCUCAAAAAGCCGAUCGUAGUCCGGAUUGGAGUCUGCAA
RNAcentral lists this ribosomal RNA (1126 nucleotides) under Acinetobacter sp. XSW037. Its description in RNAcentral is "bacterial SSU rRNA". It matches the Rfam family "Bacterial small subunit ribosomal RNA", at positions 202 to 1310 of the family's 1533-position model. The record is from RNAcentral. Lineage: Bacteria; Pseudomonadati; Pseudomonadota; Gammaproteobacteria; Moraxellales; Moraxellaceae.